Molecule: long non-coding RNA, 280 nt
Filed under: Ananas comosus (pineapple)
Lineage: Eukaryota; Viridiplantae; Streptophyta; Magnoliopsida; Poales; Bromeliaceae
Description: long non-coding RNA (ACOM_LNC032519)
Source: RNAcentral
CUGUAUAGAUGAAGGCAUAUUUAUAAGCAAGUACCGAAGGGGAAUAGAGAGGGGGGAGUAGGGUAGGAUGAGAGAGGGAGGAGGAGGGAGAAUGACGGUGAAGCAGACAGAGGGGAAGGGUACUCAUCGUAGGGAAGAAACAGCGCCUACGGGUUUCGAUUGUGACUCGGCCCACCCAGCCUCAUGCCAUUUCGAACAUGACUCGGCCCAACAUGGCCUCCCGCCACAGGGCAGGAUGCUGGCCCAUUUAAGCCAACAAUCCCCCCUCCAGUACUUGCAC